This 329-nucleotide unclassified non-coding RNA is filed under the name soil metagenome. Its description in RNAcentral is "partial contains 5.8S ribosomal RNA, internal transcribed spacer 2, and large subunit ribosomal RNA". The stretch from base 1 to 120 matches the Rfam family "5.8S ribosomal RNA", at positions 35 to 154 of the family's 154-position model. The record is from RNAcentral.
GAUGAAGAACGCAGCGAAAUGCGAUAAGUAAUGUGAAUUGCAGAAUUCAGUGAAUCAUCGAAUCUUUGAACGCACAUUGCGCCCCCUGGUAUUCCGGGGGGCAUGCCUGUCCGAGCGUCAUUACAACCCUCAAGCUCAGCUUGGUGAUGGGCCCCGCCGCCCCGGCGGGCCCUAAAGUCAGUGGCGGUGCCGUCCGGCUCCGAGCGUAGUAAUUCUUCUCGCUCUGGAGGUCCGGUCGUGUGCUCGCCAGCAACCCCCAAUUUUUUUCAGGUUGACCUCGGAUCAGGUAGGGAUACCCGCUGAACUUAAGCAUAUCAAUAAGCGGAGGA